ACCCGUGUGUGGGGGACAGUGAUUUGCGGGAAGCUCCAGGCUGGGUCCCCGUCAGCGGAGGAGCUGCCGCUGAUGAGGAUGCGAUGAAGAGGUUCUGUCCCCGGAGAGCUCUGGAGGAGCUCCAGAAUCACUCUCCCUUUUAGUCAUAGAGAUAGGAAGUGCCAUCACCAAGCAUGUGGUCCUGACCUCAGUUGGAGCAUCCUUGGCCUGGAGUCAAGCAGUUGCUGUACUCACUGAAACAGCCAAAUUAACUGUCUGCUUAACCAUGGAUUAAAAUUCAUCCAUUGAUCCAAGACAUGCUAUUCUACAAUCCUCAGGCUGCUGGUCAAACGAAACACUUAAGAGCUGUAUAUACUCAGGAAUAAAAUUUAGCACAACAAUGAAGUCGUUAGUGUA
Molecule: long non-coding RNA, 396 nt
Filed under: Calidris pugnax (ruff)
Lineage: Eukaryota; Metazoa; Chordata; Aves; Charadriiformes; Scolopacidae
Description: lncRNA (ENSCPUG00000018155.1)
Source: RNAcentral